AUACAUUUCUCGGCCUCUUGGCCAAGAUCAAGUGUAGUAUCUACUCUUAUGCCAGUUUAAUAUCUGAUACAUGGAUCUACGGAUCUAAACCUGAGAAUGAUUUCAUAUUUGAACCAUACCUAUU
Hordeum vulgare subsp. vulgare (domesticated barley) is the source of this 124-nucleotide non-coding RNA. The record is from Rfam. Lineage: Eukaryota; Viridiplantae; Streptophyta; Magnoliopsida; Poales; Poaceae.